RNAcentral lists this ribosomal RNA (478 nucleotides) under uncultured bacterium. Its description in RNAcentral is "partial 16S ribosomal RNA". It matches the Rfam family "Bacterial small subunit ribosomal RNA", at positions 28 to 507 of the family's 1533-position model. The record is from RNAcentral.
GAUGAACGCUGGCGGCGUGCCUAACACAUGCAAGUCGAACGGAGUCCAGCCUUUAAGACCUUCGGGUCAAAGAGGGGAAGACUGAGUGGCGGACGGGUGAGUAACACGUGGGCAACCUGGCUCAUAGAGGGGGAUAACAGAGAGAAAUUUCUGCUAAUACCGCAUAAGCACACCCUGCCGCAUGGCAGAGGGUGAAAAGAGAAUCGCUAUGAGAUGGACCCGCGUCUGAUUAGCCAGUUGGCAGGGUAAGAGCCCACCAAAGCGACGAUCAGUAGCCGAUCUGAGAGGAUGAACGGCCACAUUGGGACUGAGACACGGCCCAAACUCCUACGGGAGGCAGCAGUGGGGGAUAUUGCACAAUGGGGGGAACCCUGAUGCAGCGACGCCGCGUGAGUGAAGAAGUAUUUCGGUAUGUAAAGCUCUAUCAGCAGGGAAGAUAAUGACAGUACCUGAAUAAGAAGCCCCGGCUAACUACGUG